AGUUCACCAGCGCACAAAUCCAUUGUUUAAAGGCUUUCAAAAAUGUCUAAAAUCCAACAGCUGAGAACGUUGUUGGAACAACGUUUAAAUGGUGCUGAUAUGGACAUAUUUUGGGUGUUUGAAAAAGCAGUCGCAGAACAAGGAGAAGUUGUUUCUCGUUUAAAAGAAGAAAACAAGCGGCUGAAAAUGCUGGAUGCAGUUUUCAAGCCUGAAGUUCGUCUCUACAAAGCAGACAUGAAGCAGCCAUUUGUGGAUAAAGAUGUUGCUGAGUAGGAGGAGCAGAUUCUGAGAUUGGACCAGGAUGACCCAAAGUCCUUGAACACUAAUCAACAACAGGAGAAAGAGCAGCUUCACGGGCUGGAAGAUGCUGUUGUCAGCAAGUUCGCUCUCACCUUUUUCCCUGUGAAGACUGGAAAUCGUGAAGAAAACCCACAAUCAAAGUUUCAUUCAAGCCUAACUGAUGAGAACACAGAGGCUGCAGCUAGCAGUUCAGCUAAACACAGCACACUGAAAACGUGAUGAGAGCUUUACUUUCUAGAUUUAAGAUUAGAUUAGAUUUUUUUAGAUUUAAAUGCAGUCUGUACAAUCAAAUUAGAAUACAUACAAGAGAGAAACCAUUUGGCUGUUCUGAGUGCGGUAAAAGGUUUGGAUGAAAAUAUUACUGGGAGAGACAUGACAAUUCAUACAAAAGAGAAACCAUUUAGCUGCUCCGAGUGUGGCAAAAGAUUUGCAUGAAAGGAGAAAAUGGAUAUCCACAUGUGCAUUCAUAUAACAGAGAAACCAUAUGCCUGUUCAGAGUGUUGCAAAACAUUUUCACAAAAACACAAAUGGAUGCCCACAUGAGCAUUCAUAGAGACCAGUUCUGAGUACAGUAAUAUAUUUAGUCAAAAAAUAUAGUUGAAUCACAUGCUUACACAUACUACAGAGAAACCCAUUGGCUGCUUUAAGUGUGGUUAAAAAAAUUGGGAGAAAGCUUUAUCUGAGGAGACACAUCACAGUUCAUACAGGAUUGAAACAAUCUGGUUGCUCUAUGUGUGGUAGAUAUUUUAGGUCCCAGGACUACCAUAUUUCCUUAAUUAAAUGCGUGACCUUGAAUAGGGGCCUGCUUCAUUUAAUGGCCGGAUCAAAACAUCAUUUGAAAAAAAAAAAAGCCUACUUAAAUAAGCACCAGGCAUUAUGUGCAUAAAACGACUACAUUUGGUCGAGUCACUUU
Long non-coding RNA from Thalassophryne amazonica, 1213 nucleotides. RefSeq lists it as uncharacterized. The record is from RefSeq and is a predicted model, not a curated record. The transcript is spliced from 2 exons. Lineage: Eukaryota; Metazoa; Chordata; Actinopteri; Batrachoidiformes; Batrachoididae.